CAGUCGUACCGACGGAAAAUCAGCUCUUCGAGUGCGGACUUGUGGGUUUACGUGAGCUUUACGGCCUCGUUGUUUGCGAUGUUCGUUCUUUUUGGGUGUACUUUUUCGUAUGGUUGGCCAAUAUCAGUUUCGAUCGCUAUAAAAUGACCGGCGGAAUGUAGCUUCGAUCUCGUAUUGAAGUGUUAUAGCCUCCGGUAGAUGUGGUGAUUGGGACUGAGGAUUGCAACGAAUACCUUUUUGGGCUAUCCGUCUGAUCUCUGAAAGUUGCUUAGGUGCCGAAAGCGUGCUUACGGUUAUUUAAGUUGGCGGUCAAAAGGUUAGAACGUGAUUAAA
Molecule: ribosomal RNA, 333 nt
Filed under: uncultured Glomeromycotina
Lineage: Eukaryota; Fungi; Glomeromycota
Description: eukaryotic LSU rRNA
Source: RNAcentral